AGGGUUUGAUCCUGGCUCAGGAAGAACGCUAGCGGCAGGCCUUAUACAUGCAAGUCGAGGGGCAGCAUUUACUUCGGUAAAUGGCGACCGGCGCACGGGUGAGUAACGCGUAUGCAACCUACCUUUAACUGGGGCAUAGCUCGAGGAAACUCGAAUUAAUUCCCCAUAGUACAUUAUAAUAUCUCAUGAUAUAAAUGUUAAAGAUUUAUCGGUUAAAGAUGGGCAUGCGUCUGAUUAGUUUGUUGGUAAGGUAACGGCUUACCAAGGCUACGAUCAGUAGGGGGUCUGAGAGGAUGAUCCCCCACACUGGUACUGAGACACGGACCAGACAUCUACGGAUGGCAGCAGUAAGGAAUAUUGGGCAAUGGGCGCAAGCCUGACCCAGCCAUGCCGCGUGCAGGAUGACGACCCUAUGGGUUGUAAACUGCUUUUAUAUAGGAAGAAAAUACUCUUGCGAGAGGAUCUGACGGUACUAUAUGAAUAAGGACCGGCUAACUCCGUGCCAGCAGCCGCGGUAAUACGGAGGGUUCAAGCGUUUUCCGGAUUUAUUGGGUUUAAAGGGUGCGUAGGUGGUUUAUUAAGUCAGUGGUGAAAUCCUGCAGCUCAACUGUAGAACUGCCAUUGAUACUGGUAAACUUGAGUUUGGUUUAGGUAAGCGGAAUUUAUGAUGUAGCGGUGAAAUGCAUAGAUAUCAUAAGGAACACCAAUAGCGAAGGCAGCUUACUGGUCCACAACUGACACUGAGGCACGAAAGCGUGGGUAGCGAACAGGAUUAGAUACCCUGGUAGUCCACGCCGUAAACGAUGCUCACUCGAUGUUAGCGAUAUACUGUUAGCG
RNAcentral lists this ribosomal RNA (837 nucleotides) under uncultured bacterium. RNAcentral describes it as "bacterial SSU rRNA". It matches the Rfam family "Bacterial small subunit ribosomal RNA", at positions 8 to 845 of the family's 1533-position model. The record is from RNAcentral.